This 497-nucleotide ribosomal RNA is filed under the name uncultured bacterium. RNAcentral describes it as "partial 16S ribosomal RNA". It matches the Rfam family "Bacterial small subunit ribosomal RNA", at positions 28 to 507 of the family's 1533-position model. The record is from RNAcentral.
GACGAGCGCUGGCGGCGUGCCUAAUACAUGCAAGUAGAACGCUGAAGAGAGGAGCUUGCUCUUCUUGGAUGAGUUGCGAACGGGUGAGUAACGCGUAGGUAACCUGCCUUGUAGCGGGGGAUAACUAUUGGAAACGAUAGCUAAUACCGCAUAACAAUAGGUGACACAUGUCAUUUAUUUGAAAGGGGCAAUUGCUCCACUACAAGAUGGACCUGCGUUGUAUUAGCUAGUAGGUGAGGUAACGGCUCACCUAGGCGACGAUACAUAGCCGACCUGAGAGGGUGAUCGGCCACACUGGGACUGAGACACGGCCCAGACUCCUACGGGAGGCAGCAGUAGGGAAUCUUCGGCAAUGGGGGCAACCCUGACCGAGCAACGCCGCGUGAGUGAAGAAGGUUUUCGGAUCGUAAAGCUCUGUUGUAAGUCAAGAACGAGUGUGAGAGUGGAAAGUUCACACUGUGACGGUAGCUUACCAGAAAGGGACGGCUAACUACGUG